Molecule: long non-coding RNA, 587 nt
Organism: Tigriopus californicus
Lineage: Eukaryota; Metazoa; Arthropoda; Copepoda; Harpacticoida; Harpacticidae
Exons: 3
Source: RefSeq, a predicted model, not a curated record
GCCAUCCCUAUUAUCGUCCAAACAAAUCCUAACCGAAGUCGAAACCUGCGUAGUUCACCCUAGGCUUUCCUGCACUCUUGUAUAAAGCAAACUUCCCUCGCUCCUCUUGCUCAGGCGAUUUUCACAAGAAAAUGGCCGUUAAAGUGAAUGUUGUGUACUGUGGUGCCUGAGGGUACGCCCCCAAGUUCCGCAAGUUAAAGGCGGACUUGGAGGCUCGACUAGGUGACAAGAUUGAAGUCACCUACGAGGCCACCCCAAGCACAACUGGCAAAUUCGAAGUCACCUUGGUGGACUCGGGAAAGGUCCUUCACUCCAAGAUCGGAGGAGAUGGAUACGUGGACAACAAUGACAAGUUGGAAAAGAUUGUCAAGGGUAUCGAAGAGGCCCUGAGCGCCUAAUCACCAAGGUGUGCCCAUAUUGAUGGCGGCCUUUCGUAAGUGGAUGCGUUGAUUAGAAUCUUGAACAUGACGCAAAUCUCGAAAUUCCAGAAGGAAAACAGAUUGGGCCGAUGACACCUGCAAAGGACUUUCAAUGGAACCGUUACGCUUGUGCCUUAAAUCAUGAAAUAAAUAUACCUCAAAAAAGUC